UACGUAGGGGGCGAGCGUUGUCCGGAUUUAUUGGGCGUAAAGAGCGUGUAGGCGGCCAGGUAGGUCUGCUGUGAAAACUCGGGGCUCAACCUCGAGACGUCGGCGGAAACCAUCUGGCUAGAGUCCGGAAGAGGAGAGUGGAAUUCCCGGUGUAGCGGUGAAAUGCGCAGAUAUCGGGAAGAACACCCGUGGCGAAGGCGGCUCUCUGGGACGGUACUGACGCUGAGACGCGAAAGCGUGGGGAGCGAACAGG
This 253-nucleotide ribosomal RNA is filed under the name uncultured bacterium. RNAcentral describes it as "partial 16S ribosomal RNA". It matches the Rfam family "Bacterial small subunit ribosomal RNA", at positions 524 to 776 of the family's 1533-position model. The record is from RNAcentral.